Molecule: ribosomal RNA, 512 nt
Filed under: Thermoleophilia bacterium
Lineage: Bacteria; Bacillati; Actinomycetota; Thermoleophilia
Description: bacterial SSU rRNA
Rfam family: Bacterial small subunit ribosomal RNA
Source: RNAcentral
UGGGAGGAGCUCGCGGCCCAUUAGCUUGUUGGUGAGGUAACGGCUCACCAAGGCGACGAUGGGUAGCUGGUCUGAGAGGACGAUCAGCCACACUGGGACUGAGACACGGCCCAGACUCCUACGGGAGGCAGCAGUGGGGAAUCUUGCGCAAUGCGCGAAAGCGUGACGCAGCAACGCCGCGUGGGGGAAGACGGCCUUAGGGUUGUAAACCCCUUUCAGGAGGGACGAAGGUUCACCGGUUAAUAGCCGUGUGGAUUGACGGUACCUCCACAAGAAGCACCGGCUAACUACGUGCCAGCAGCCGCGGUAAUACGUAGGGUGCAAGCGUUGUCCGGAAUCAUUGGGCGUAAAGCGCGCGUAGGUGGCCAUUUAAGUCCGCUGUGAAAGUCAAAGGCUCAACCUUUGAAAGCCGGUGGAUACUGGAUGGCUAGAGUACGGAAGAGGCGAGUGGAAUUCCUGGUGUAGCGGUGGAAUGCGCAGAUAUCAGGAGGAACACCAAUAGCGAAGGCAGC